GAUCAUGACUCAGGAUGAACGCUAGCUACAGGCUUAACACAUGCAAGUCGAGGGGAAACGACAUCGAAAGCUUGCUUUUGAUGGGCGUCGACCGGCGCACGGGUGAGUAACGCGUAUCCAACCUGCCCAUCACUUGGGGAAUAACCUUGCGAAAGUAAGACUAAUGCCCAAUGAUAUCCCACGAAGGCAUCCGAAUGGGAUUAAAGAUUCAUCGGUGAUGGAUGGGGAUGCGU
Molecule: ribosomal RNA, 233 nt
Filed under: uncultured bacterium
Lineage: Bacteria
Description: partial 16S ribosomal RNA
Rfam family: Bacterial small subunit ribosomal RNA
Source: RNAcentral